AAGAGAAUUAUUUGAUCAAAAUAAGAAAGAAGGUUUUUAGAUGAAAAUAGAUGUAAAAUUUUAAAUAGGGGCUUGGUUUAAAAAAUUGCAUUAGGGGAUUUUCAGUGUUUGAGGUUAAUAAAAUUAUUGGGGGUAAUUUUAGUUAAUUUAAAACUAUAGGGGUAAAAUGAUGUGCCAGCAUUCGCGGUUACACAUCAUCCUUGAAUCUUUAUUUUUAGUUAGGAGGUUAGUAAGUAUAAAAAGAAAUUAAUUUGUUUUAAGGGGGGUGAAAUAAGUUAAAAUUGAUUUAUAUUGAAAAUUUUCAAAAUUUUGGGUUUAAACUAGGAUUAGAUACCCUAUUAUUCAAAUUUAUUCAAUAUUUUUUUUUAGGAAUUUGGUUAUACAUUAAAUUAAAUUGAUUUGGCGGUUUUUUAAACUAUUUAGAGGAACCUGUUGAUUAAUUUGAUAAUCCACAAUUUAAAUUACCUUAAUUUUCUUGUAUAUCUCUAUAAUUGAAUAUAUUUUGAGGUCAAUUUUCUUUUUUCUAUAGUAGAAUUUAAUUUAGGUCAAGGUGCAGUUGUAUUAAGGUUUAAAUGGGUUACAAUAAUUUUGGUUUGUGGGUAAUCUAUUUGAAUAGAUUUAAAAUUGGAUUUAAAAGUAAAAUUUUUUAUUAAAAAUUUUGAAUUAUGCUCUAAAUCAUGUACAUAUCGCCCGUCAUUCUCAUCAAGUGAGACAAGUCGUAACAAAGUAGAUGUAUUGGAAAAUGUAUCUAG
This 752-nucleotide non-coding RNA is filed under the name Changeondelphax velitchkovskyi. The record is from RNAcentral. Lineage: Eukaryota; Metazoa; Arthropoda; Insecta; Hemiptera; Delphacidae.